Molecule: long non-coding RNA, 1113 nt
Filed under: Anas platyrhynchos platyrhynchos (common mallard)
Lineage: Eukaryota; Metazoa; Chordata; Aves; Anseriformes; Anatidae
Description: lncRNA (ENSAPLG00000027213.1)
Source: RNAcentral
CUCGUGUUAUGAAUGACAGAAGUGUCUCAGACUGAGAAUGCUGUGUGCUGCUGCUUGCAGCAAUCUGUGGCACUGAUCCUGCAGGGCUGUGCUGGCAGCACAGCUCAUAAUUCUGCAAUACAAGGAAUAAUGCCUGGAGACCUGCAAAGCUCAGAUCUGAAGCUUACUGAUAUUUGGGGGUAUAAAGGAUGUAGAAUGUGGUUAAUGGAGGAGAGGAAGAGAAGACAAAUAAUAAAAGCAAGGACCUUUGGUAAAUACCUGGACAUAGACAGUGGGCAAAGGAAAAAAAGGUAAGAACAAUUCUAGAACACAAUAGGUGUUGUCUUUGAUCACAGAAGUCAAGUGGAGAGUGAUUUUUCAUUCUGUGCUUAUAUAAUACAUGCCAGCAAGAUGGCCAGAUCAAUUGUAAGUAUCAUAAUACAACGAAGUAUUAUAACAAUUAAAUUGAAGGUACAACUAAGUGAGAGUUACAUAAUAUUAUUCCUUAUCAUCGAGCACUAUGUACUGUGUAGGUAAAUAUCACUAAUUCUAUUGUGUAGAGGGAGGUAUAUAUAUGAUCCAAAUACUUUGUGGAAGUGUGAGGUAUUCUCCAAUAGAUUAUUUCACGAGAGGUACUAAACAGGUACAGUACACUGAACUGCUAAUAAUGAUGUGAAGGUGCUCUGUUCUCAAACUUGGGGUUAAAUGUGUUAUUGUUUUACCAUGUUUUUAAUAUCUAAAUUUUAAUAUAAAAUCAUUGAAUUCAUUAAAAAAAAAAAAAAAAAAAAAAAAAAGAUAAUGUAACAGUCAAAGUUUAAGCUUGAGAUUUGGAGAGCAAAUCCCGUCUACCAACUUGUGUGGUUGACAAGCAAGGCUCACAUUCAAAAGGUUCUCAGAUUUAGGAGGCUGUUUCAUGUGACUAAAUGCAGUAGGCUGAAGGCGGCCACUACUUUCUUCAUGUAAUCUAAUGUAUUAUCUAGGUCUGAAAUCUUUCAAGUCUGAACAGUAUUUGUUUCUGGUCAGUGCUAUUAGUCAUUGUUCUAAUACAUAUACUACAGAAUUUGGGCUAAUGCUUUACAAAGUAUACAACAUGCUCAGGUUAAUAUCAAUAAAGAAUAGACAAUUCCUUUGCCA